GACCUGCGGAGGGAUCAUUAC
This 21-nucleotide ribosomal RNA is filed under the name Trichoderma harzianum. RNAcentral describes it as "partial 18S ribosomal RNA". RNAcentral also lists the same sequence under 4 other names. The record is from RNAcentral. Lineage: Eukaryota; Fungi; Ascomycota; Sordariomycetes; Hypocreales; Hypocreaceae.